GAUGAACGCUGGCGGCGUGCCUAAUACAUGCAAGUCGAGCGAACAGACGAGGAGCUUGCUCCUCUGACGUUAGCGGCGGACGGGUGAGUAACACGUGGAUAACCUACCUAUAAGACUGGGAUAACUUCGAGAAACCGGAUCUAAUACCGGACAAUAUAUUGAACCGCAUGGUUCAAUAGUGAAAGACGGUUUUGCUGUCACUUAUAGAUGGAUCCGCGCCGCAUUAGCUAGUUGUUAAGGUAACGGCUUACCACGGCAACGAUGCGUAGCCGACCUGAGAGGGUGGUCGGCCACACUGGACCUGAGACACGGUCCAGACUCCUACGGGAGGCAGCAGUAGGGAAUCUUCCGCAAUGGGCGAAAGCCUGACGGAGCAACGCCGCGUGAGUGAUGAAGGUCUUCGGAUCGUAAAACUCUGUUAUUAGGGAAGAACCAAUGUGUAAGUAACUAUGCACGUAUUGACGGUACCUACUCAGAAAGCAACGGCUAACUACGUG
This 497-nucleotide ribosomal RNA is filed under the name uncultured bacterium. RNAcentral describes it as "partial 16S ribosomal RNA". It matches the Rfam family "Bacterial small subunit ribosomal RNA", at positions 28 to 507 of the family's 1533-position model. The record is from RNAcentral.